This 356-nucleotide ribosomal RNA is filed under the name uncultured eukaryote. RNAcentral describes it as "SSU rRNA". It matches the Rfam family "Eukaryotic small subunit ribosomal RNA", at positions 594 to 945 of the family's 1831-position model. The record is from RNAcentral.
AUAGCGUAUAUUAAAGUUGUUGCAGUUAAAAAGCUCGUAGUUGGAUUUCUGUUUUGAGCGUCCGGUCCGCUCCUUUGGAGUGUGUUACUAGGAUGUUUGAGACAUUUUUUGUGAGGAUGUCUUUCUGCCAUUCAGUUGGUGGUUUGAUAGACUUGCAUCGUUUACUGUGAAAAAAUUAGAGUGUUUAAAGCAGGCGUUUGCUCAUUGAAUACAUUAGCAUGGAAUAAUAAGAUACGACCUUGGUGGUCUAUUUUGUUGGUUUGCACACCAGGGUAAUGAUUAAUAGGGACAGUUGGGGGUAUUCAUAUUUCAGCGUCAGAGGUGAAAUUCUUGGAUCGCUGAAAGAUGAGCUUAGG